This 78-nucleotide transfer RNA is filed under the name Araneus ventricosus. It matches the Rfam family "tRNA". From Rfam's summary of the family: Transfer RNA (tRNA) molecules are approximately 80 nucleotides in length. Lineage: Eukaryota; Metazoa; Arthropoda; Arachnida; Araneae; Araneidae. The record is from Rfam by way of RNAcentral.
GGUAGCGUGGCCGAGCGGUCUAAGGCGCUGGUUUAAGGCACCAGUCUCUUCGAGGUGGUUCGAACCCCACCGCUGCCG